GGGUUGUGAGGUUAAGCGAAUAAGCGUACACGGUGGAUGCCUAGGCAAUCAGAGGCGAUGAAGGACGUGCUAAUCUGCGAAAAGCGUCGGUAAGGUGAUAUGAACCGUUAUACCCGACGAUAUCCGAAUGGGGAAACCCAGUAUCCAAUGGAUACUAUCAUUAACUGAAUCCAUAGGUUAAUGAGGCGAACCGGGAGAACUGAAACAUCUCAGUACCCCGAGGAAAAGAAAUCAACCGAGAUUCCCCUAGUAGCGGCGAGCGAACGGGGAGCAGCCCAGAGUCUUAAUCAAUGGCAGUGUCAGGAGAACGGUCUGGAAAGUCCGGCAGUAAAGGGUGAUAGCCCCGUAUCUGAAGAUGCUGUUAUUGUGAACUCGACGAGUAGGGCGGGACACGUGUUAUCCUGUCUGAAUAUGGGGGGACCAUCCUCCAAGGCUAAAUACUCCUGAUUGACCGAUAGUGAACCAGUACCGUGAGGGAAAGGCGAAAAGAACCCCGGCGAGGGGAGUGAAAAAGAACCUGAAACCGUGUACGUACAAGCAGUAGGAGCCUCUUUAUGGGGUGACUGCGUACCUUUUGUAUAAUGGGUCAGCGACUUAUAUUCUGUAGCAAGGUUAACCGUAUAGGGGAGCCGUAGGGAAACCGAGUCUUAACUGGGCGAAUGAGUUGCAGGGUAUAGACCCGAAACCCGGUGAUCUAUCCAUGGGCAGGUUGAAGGUUGGGUAACACUAACUGGAGGACCGAACCGACUAAUGUUGAAAAAUUAGCGGAUGACUUGUGGAUGGGGGUGAAAGGCCAAUCAAACCGGGAGAUAGCUGGUUCUCCCCGAAAGCUAUUUAGGUAGCGCCUCGUGAACUCAUCUUCGGGGGUAGAGCACUGUUUCGACUAGGGGGUCAUCCCGACUUACCAACUCGAUGCAAACUGCGAAUACCGAAGAAUGUUAUCACGGGAGACACACGGCGGGUGCUAACGUCCGUCGUGAAGAGGGAAACAACCCAGACCGCCAGCUAAGGUCCCAAAGUCAUGGUUAAGUGGGAAACGAAGUGGGAAGGCUCAGACAGCCAGGAUGUUGGCUUAGAAGCAGCCAUCAUUUAAAGAAAGCGUAAUAGCUCACUGGUCGAGUCGGCCCGCGCGGAAGAUGUAACGGGGCUAAACCAUGCACCGAAGCUGCGGCAGCGACACAAUGUGUUGUUGGGUAGGGGAGCGUUCUGUAAGCCUGCGAAGGUGUACUGUGAGGUAUGCUGGAGGUAUCAGAAGUGCGAAUGCUGACAUAAGUAACGAUAAUGCGGGUGAAAAACCCGCACGCCGGAAGACCAAGGGUUCCUGUCCAACGUUAAUCGGGGCAGGGUGAGUCGACCCCUAAGGCGAGGCUGAAAAGCGUAGUCGAUGGGAAACGGGUUAAUAUUCCCGUACUGGUGGUAACUGCGAUGGGGGAACGGAGAAGGCUAGGUUGUCCGGGCGACGGUCGUCCCGGUUCAAGCAGGUAGGCAGAGUGAUUAGGCAAAUCCGGUCACUUAAUGCUGAGAUGUGAUGACGAGCCACUAAGGUGGUGAAGCAAUUGAUGCCCCGCUUCCAGGAAAAGCCUCUAAGCUUCAGGUUACCAACAAUCGUACCCCAAACCGACACAGGUGGUCAGGUAGAGAAUACUCAGGCGCUUGAGAGAACUCGGGUGAAGGAACUAGGCAAAAUGGUGCCGUAACUUCGGGAGAAGGCACGCUGGCGGUAGGUAAAGUCCCUUGCGGACGGCGCCCAAGCCAGUCGAAGAUACCAGCUGGCUGCAACUGUUUAUUAAAAACACAGCACUGUGCAAACACGAAAGUGGACGUAUACGGUGUGACGCCUGCCCGGUGCUGGAAGGUUAAUUGAUGGGGUCAGCCGCAAGGCGAAGCUCCUGAUCGAAGCCCCAGUAAACGGCGGCCGUAACUAUAACGGUCCUAAGGUAGCGAAAUUCCUUGUCGGGUAAGUUCCGACCUGCACGAAUGGCGUAAUGAUGGCCAGGCUGUCUCCACCCGAGACUCAGUGAAAUUGAACUCGCUGUGAAGAUGCAGUGUACCCGCGGCAAGACGGAAAGACCCCGUGAACCUUUACUAUAGCUUGACACUGAACAUUGAGCCUUGAUGUGUAGGAUAGGUGGGAGGCUUUGAAGUGUGGACGCCAGUCUGCAUGGAGCCAACCUUGAAAUACCACCCUUUAACGUUUGAUGUUCUAACCUAGGCCCGUAAUCCGGGUCGGGGACCGUGUCUGGUGGGUAGUUUGACUGGGGCGGUCUCCUCCUAAAGAGUAACGGAGGAGCACGAAGGUUGGCUAAGCAUGGUCGGACAUCAUGCGGUUAGUGCAAAGGCAUAAGCCAGCUUGACUGCGAGAGUGACGGCUCGAGCAGGUACGAAAGUAGGUCUUAGUGAUCCGGUGGUUCUGAAUGGAAGGGCCAUCGCUCAACGGAUAAAAGGUACUCCGGGGAUAACAGGCUGAUACCGCCCAAGAGUUCAUAUCGACGGCGGUGUUUGGCACCUCGAUGUCGGCUCAUCACAUCCUGGGGCUGAAGUAGGUCCCAAGGGUAUGGCUGUUCGCCAUUUAAAGUGGUACGCGAGCUGGGUUUAGAACGUCGUGAGACAGUUCGGUCCCUAUCUGCCGUGGGCGUUGGAAGAUUGAGAGGGGUUGCUCCUAGUACGAGAGGACCGGAGUGAACGCACCACUGGUGUUCGGGUUGUCAUGCCAAUGGCAUUGCCCGGUAGCUAAGUGCGGAAGAGAUAACCGCUGAAAGCAUCUAAGCGGGAAACUUGCCUCGAGAUGAGUCUUCCCUGUCGCUUAAAGUGACCUAAAGGAACGUUUAAGACGAAGACGUUGAUAGGCUGGGUGUGUAAGCGUAGCGAUACGUUGAGCUAACCAGUACUAAUGAACCGUGAGGCUUAACCUGACAACACCGAAAGUGUUUUG
Molecule: ribosomal RNA, 2932 nt
Filed under: Proteus mirabilis
Lineage: Bacteria; Pseudomonadati; Pseudomonadota; Gammaproteobacteria; Enterobacterales; Morganellaceae
Description: 23S ribosomal RNA
Rfam family: Bacterial large subunit ribosomal RNA
Source: RNAcentral